GAGGUGGAAAAGUCAAAGCCUGAAAAGGCCAGCAGUGAAGUGUGGGCCACCAUCCUGGCUCUGAUCUGGCUUCAUGGUUUCAAGAUGGAUGCAAAGGACGAGUGGGAGCUUCUGGCUGUGAAGGCUGCCUCAUGGCUCCAAGCUCAUAAAGCACCGUUUGUGUCAG
This is a non-coding RNA of Neolamprologus brichardi, 166 nucleotides long. The record is from RefSeq and is a predicted model, not a curated record. Lineage: Eukaryota; Metazoa; Chordata; Actinopteri; Cichliformes; Cichlidae.